Molecule: long non-coding RNA, 262 nt
Filed under: Lathyrus oleraceus (garden pea)
Lineage: Eukaryota; Viridiplantae; Streptophyta; Magnoliopsida; Fabales; Fabaceae
Description: Pisum sativum (pea) long non-coding RNA (PSAT_LNC020503)
Source: RNAcentral
GAUUUAAAAGUUCAACAAAAAUUGGUUGUGAUGAGAUUUAAGAAGAAUGGCCUUAAAAAUGGAACCUGGUGUCUAAGUUUUGAUCAUUGUGAUGAAUGCGAGGUUUUGGUAAACUGGAAAACGACUUCUCGUGCCUUCUAAAGGAAUUGGCCUGAGGAUGAAAACUGGUUUGAAAUAUUGCUGCAAUGCAGAGGUUUCAUGCUGAUUCAUGCUGAUAGUAAACCUGUUGAUGCACUUCAUGAAAUAAUGAGGGCUCCACAUU